GUUUGGUACUGAUGAUAUUCAUUCAGAGGCUACCGUCAAGUCAAGAACCAAACUACGCGACCGAGAAAAAGAAAACCCAAUCCAUCGCGAUUCAUAUUCUUUUUCACACUAAAUUCAUCACAAUUCCCAAAUUCAACUAUUUCGUAAACCCUAACGUCUAAUAUCAUGAACCCUUACGACAAUCGUUACUCCGAUUCCACUUCUUUUCGCGGCCGCCGCAGUGAUCUUGUUGGACCUAUGCCGCCGCCUAAUUUCGGCCGCGGCGGUCCUGCUCCGUACACUGCUCCUUAUGCACCACACGCACCUACCGGUUUCGGAUCCGCAUCUGUUACUCCGGUUCCUCACUUUUUGCCUCCUCCUGGUGGAGGUGGAUUUAGCAUAGGUCGUGGUGGUGGUGGUGGUGGUGGUGGUUUUGGUCCUAGAAUGGCCAACGGUGAUAGAAAGUAUGACACAGGUCGUUUUGGUGGUAGUAGUGGUGGGAGAGGUCGUGGUGGCGGUGGUGGUAGAGGUGGAAGUCAAGGUUUUAGAGGCUCUGGUAGAGGAGGUAGUGGAGGGAGAGGUGGUGGGUUUGGAGGUAAACAUGGAUCUUCUAAGGAUGAUUUGAAUAACAUUAAUCUUCCAAAGCAAGAUUUUAGGAAUUUGGUACCUUUUCAGAAGAAUUUCUAUAUUGAAAGUCCUCAGAUACAAGCUAUGUCUGAUAUUCAAGUUAUGCAGUACCGAGCUAGUAGGGAUAUCACUGUUGAAGGGCAUGAUGUGCCGAAGCCAAUUCUGUCUUUUCAUGAGGCUAAUUUUCCUGAUUACUGUCUUGAUGUCAUUGCCAAGUUGGGUUUUGUUGAGCCCACUCCAAUUCAGGCUCAGGGUUGGCCCAUGGCUCUUACCGGUAGAGAUUUAAUUGGCAUUGCCGAGACUGGCUCUGGUAAAACUUUGUCGUAUCUACUUCCUGCUUUAGUUCAUGUCAGUGCACAACCUCGUUUGGCACAAGGGGAAGGUCCCAUUGUCUUGGUUUUAGCACCGACUAGAGAGUUAGCUGUUCAAAUUCAACAAGAAGCUAUGAAAUUCGGGGGACGAUCAAAUAUUAGAUGUACAUGCAUAUACGGCGGUGCUCCAAAGGGCCCUCAAAUCCGUGACCUUAGAAUGGGUGUUGAGAUUGUUAUUGCUACUCCUGGACGUCUAAUAGAUAUGUUGGAAGCUCAGUAUACAAACCUGCAGAGAGUGACAUACCUUGUCUUGGAUGAAGCUGAUCGAAUGUUGGAUAUGGGUUUUGAACCUCAGAUUCGGAAGAUUGUAAACCAGAUUCGACCAGAUAGGCAGACAUUAUACUGGAGUGCAACGUGGCCAAAGGAGGUUGAAACUCUGGCAAGACAGUUUCUGCAGAACCCAUAUAAGGUAGUUAUUGGAUCACCAUAUCUAAAAGCAAAUCAAUCUAUAAAUCAAGUUGUUGAAGUUGUCAGUGACAUGGAGAAAUAUAACAGAUUGAUCAAGCUGCUGAAAGAAGUGAUGGAUGGGAGCCGAGUUCUAAUAUUUACUGAAACAAAAAAGGGAUGUGACCAAAUUACAAAACAAUUGAGAAUGGAUGGAUGGCCAGCAUUAUCCAUCCAUGGUGAUAAAAACCAGGCUGAAAGGGACUGGGUUUUGGCUGAAUUUAAGAGUGGCAGAAGUCCAAUAAUGACUGCCACUGAUGUUGCUGCACGGGGUCUUGGUAGGAUCACUGUGUGUUUAGAAUCAUAGGAUUUUUGGUAUAGGUCUAAAAUGUAACCAUAGACGAGUUGGCCGGCUGCUUUCCAGUUCCCCUUGACAACAAUUUGUGGUUUUGGUGUGUGUGGGUGGGGGUCAUAUUUUGAGUUUGUUGGAAGUGCCUGUAACUUGACCAGGGGAUUAUAGAGAUGGAAUUGUUUCGCAGCUUUCAGUAGACUGCUUGAUGGAGUUGAUUUGGGAACUAUCCUUUUAAAGAUGUCAAGUUAUAUGGAUACCUAGGCCCUAGGUCAGAGUUCCUUUGAUAUGGCUGGGAUAUUGAUGAAUAAUUUCUGAUGUAGUAUGCCAUGUAUGAUCCUGUAUUUCACGGGGCAGGUUAAUGUUUGGUGACUUACUUGAUUGACAAAACAAGGUGAGUUUAUCAAUAAUUUGCCAGUGUUGCCUGAAGUCAUGUCAUACUACUAUACUAGUCAUACCACUGUUGUCACUUUUCUUAAAAUUAGUCAAAUUGAUUGAUCCCCAUCCACAGUUAUGGAGCUGGUUAUCGUUGCAGCCCGGUUGACUCACAUGCUUUUUUGAUAAUUUGAUUGGAUGUGAUAGAUGACAUUGAUGGUGAAGCUGCUCUUUAUCCCUGAAAGGUUCAGAUGUGAAGGACAUAAAAUGCGUGGUCAAUUAUGAUUUUCCAUCAAGCCUUGAAGAUUAUGUCCACAGAAUUGGUCGAACUGGGCGUGCAGGGGCUAAAGGAACUGCAUACAGUUUCUUUACCCGUGCUAAUGCCAAGUAUG
RNA transcript from Trifolium pratense (red clover), 2477 nucleotides. It is a transcript of the gene named DEAD-box ATP-dependent RNA helicase 20, with no coding region annotated. The transcript has 9 exons. NCBI's taxonomy places the organism in Eukaryota, Viridiplantae, Streptophyta, Magnoliopsida, Fabales, Fabaceae. The record is from RefSeq and is a predicted model, not a curated record.